AUGGUCCAUGAGUCUCCUCACCUCUCAGAUGGUCACCAUUUUCCACCCUUCUCUGAUGGCCUGCAGCCUUCAACAUACAGCAAAGCUGAAAUGAGACGCAGCAAUUCGACACUUCAUGCCCUCGAAGCCCGUGGAAGUUUCCACAAAACAGAGAAGUGGAGAGCACAAGCAAGAGAUGGUGACAAUCAAGACAGAACCUCAGAGAGCAUCAGCUUUGGAUGUGCAGACCAGUCACAACUCAGCAUUUCUUGCAGUAAAAGGAAUGGAAAGUGGAACGAUCGAUCUCCAGGAGCACGAGCAGCUUUGGAACGGCGCCGGCAGAGGCAGCGCCAGCUACAGAGGCAGUUCCGAGAGCAAAUGGCACAGGACAAACUGAAUCCUUUUCAUGAUAUCAAACACCAGGCUUCCAGCCCGAGUCCAUUGGAAUUGCUUCAGGCUGAAGCGGCGCUUGCGGUUGGUGAGAGCGUAAUGCAACGACUCGGUCAAACAACCAUCACGCGCCAAAACACUAUCCAUCCGAUCGGCUUGGCAGCUCCACAACCGCGCACCACUCUGCCUCCUGUUAUUAGCCAGCAAACCGCUUGCCAUAGUCUCGGUAAAAACUGAUAGUUCUCGACAUACGCAAUGACGUCGAGUCUCAUGGAUUACCUGUGAACCUCGUUAUUAGGUAUGGAUAUCAGGUGAUGGCCCCAUUGGCCCAUAUUUAUACAUUUGACUCAUUUAAACAUUCAGUAAUUGCAUUAAUCAGGUGUCUGGAUUCAAACCAUUGUCCUGGCUGCUUCAAAUUGUGUUUCCAAGCUUUUGCCUUCAUUUUACGAUGUGUUAAAAUGCAUUACAAACAAGCCAGCCGAUGUCCUUGUCAGAGUCCUGCUUCUGCAGGCUGUUUUGAAUUCCAGUGUGGAGUGACAACAAUCUUAGAGAACUACAAAGGAUUUGCUUCUGUUUAUGAAUGUGUGCCGGGACUCUCUCGCUCUUUGAAGCGUGAGAAAGAAGCUGUUUACUGCUAAUUCUCCCCGAGGGCCGUAGGGAGGGGGGGGGGGAAGCCCACUUGCACCUUUGUUUCUUGCUUUGCCUUGCCUUUCUCCGCCUAGGAAUAGGUUUUAUAUAUGAAAGUUUUGGAGUGUAACCUUUAGUGUGGUACUGGGUCUGACUGCUGUGGUUGGUCCCUGCGCCACCUCCGCUUGCAAGUGCUAUGCUGCUUCAAUAAACCGUAUAUUCGAGAACCCUCAGUUGACUCACCUCAAUUCUUGGCCAGGAUUGGUGAGGGUCUUCAUCACACUCAUGUUUUUACCCCUCAGCCCGAAUUGGCUAAGGGGUAUUGCGUCAUAGGCGUUGUCCAGGCAUCCGGGCGUCUGUCAACUUUUGGUUUCCAUCAAUUUCGAGGAGAACGCCUUGUCCGAUUAAAUCCAUUUUUGCAGUGUGUGUUGGGGCUGGGUAGAGGAAGGUUCCUUUCGUAUAAUCAGUGCGAUGCGAUAUCCAAUAUGGCGGCAAGGGCAGCCAUCUUGAAUUUGGUUUCCGGACAAUAACUUGAGAACGGCUUGACAGAUUGAUUUUAUUUUCGUGGGGGUAUAAUGGGGGUGGUUCGAGGAAGGUUCCUUUCGAUAUACAGCACAAUCCGAUAUCCAAUAUGGUGGCUAGUGCAGACAUCUUGAAUUUGGCGGGCGUCUGGGCGUCUGUCAACUUUCGGUUUCCGUCAAUUUCGAGAACGCCUUGUGCGAUUAAAUCCAUUUUUGCAGGGUAUGUUGGGGUUGAGUAGAGGAAGGUUCCUUUCAAAAAUGGGAGCGCUGCGAUUUUCAAUGUGGCCACCAUGGCAGCCAUCUUGAAAUUGGUUUCCGUCGAUUUCGAGGAGAACGCCGUGUCCGAUUAAAUCCAUUUUUGCAGGGUAUGUUGGGGUUUAGUAGAGGAAGGUUCCCUUCAAAAAUGGGCAUGCUGCGAUUUUCAAUGUGGCCUCCAUGGCAGCCAUCUUGAAAUUGGUUUCCGUCGAUUU
Molecule: long non-coding RNA, 1987 nt
Organism: Eptatretus burgeri (inshore hagfish)
Lineage: Eukaryota; Metazoa; Chordata; Myxini; Myxiniformes; Myxinidae
Source: Ensembl